CCUACGGGCCGCACCAGUAGGGAAUCUUCCACAAUGGGCGCAAGCCUGAUGGAGCAACGCCGCGUGUGUGAUGAAGGCUUUCGGGUCGUAAAGCACUGUUGUAUGGGAAGAACGGGUUUAAGAGGAAAUGCUUAAACAGUGACGGUACCAUACCAGAAAGGGACGGCUAAAUACGUGCCAGCAGCCGCGGUAAUACGUAUGUCCCGAGCGUUAUCCGGAUUUAUUGGGCGUAAAGCGAGCGCAGGCGGUUGCGUAAGUCUGAAGUGAAAGCCCACAGCUCAACUGUGGAAUGGCUUUGGAAACUGGGCAACUUGAGUGCAGUAGGGGUAAGUGGAACUCCAUGUGUAGCGGUGGAAUGCGUAGGUAUAUGGAAGAACACCAGUGGCGAAGGCGGCUUACUGGACUGCAACUGACGUUGAGGCUCGAAAGUGUGGGUAGCAAACAGGAUUAGAUACCCGUGUAGUC
Molecule: ribosomal RNA, 465 nt
Filed under: uncultured bacterium
Lineage: Bacteria
Description: bacterial SSU rRNA
Rfam family: Bacterial small subunit ribosomal RNA
Source: RNAcentral